Molecule: ribosomal RNA, 458 nt
Filed under: uncultured bacterium
Lineage: Bacteria
Description: partial 16S ribosomal RNA
Rfam family: Bacterial small subunit ribosomal RNA
Source: RNAcentral
CCUACGGGAGGCAGCAGUGAGGAAUAUUGGUCAAUGGGCGAGAGCCUGAACCAGCCAAGUCGCGUGAGGGAGUACUGCCCUAUGGGUUGUAAACCUCUUUUGUCGGGGAGCAAAAGCCGGACGUGUCCGGCUGUGAGAGUACCCGCAGAAAAAGCAUCGGCUAACUCCGUGCCAGCAGCCGCGGUAAUACGGAGGCUGCGAGCGUUAUCCGGAUUUAUUGGGGUUAAAGGGUGCGCAGGCGGAUUUUUAAGUCAGCGGUCAAAUCGUGGGGCUCAACCCCAUCCAGCCGUUGAAACUGGGGAUCUAGAGUGUGCGAGAGGUAUGCGGAAUGCGUGGUGUAGCGGUGAAAUGCAUAGAUAUCACGCAGAACCCCGAUUGCGAAGGCAGCAUACCGGUGCACAACUGACGCUCAGGCACGAAAGCGUGGGUAUCGAACAGGAUUAGAUACCCUUGUAGUC